Molecule: ribosomal RNA, 465 nt
Filed under: uncultured Klebsiella sp.
Lineage: Bacteria; Pseudomonadati; Pseudomonadota; Gammaproteobacteria; Enterobacterales; Enterobacteriaceae
Description: bacterial SSU rRNA
Rfam family: Bacterial small subunit ribosomal RNA
Source: RNAcentral
CCUACGGGUGGCUGCAGUGGGGAAUAUUGCACAAUGGGCGCAAGCCUGAUGCAGCCAUGCCGCGUGUGUGAAGAAGGCCUUCGGGUUGUAAAGCACUUUCAGCGGGGAGGAAGGCGGUGAGGUUAAUAACCUCAUCGAUUGACGUUACCCGCAGAAGAAGCACCGGCUAACUCCGUGCCAGCAGCCGCGGUAAUACGGAGGGUGCAAGCGUUAAUCGGAAUUACUGGGCGUAAAGCGCACGCAGGCGGUCUGUCAAGUCGGAUGUGAAAUCCCCGGGCUCAACCUGGGAACUGCAUUCGAAACUGGCAGGCUAGAGUCUUGUAGAGGGGGGUAGAAUUCCAGGUGUAGCGGUGAAAUGCGUAGAGAUCUGGAGGAACACCGGUGGCGAAGGCGGCCCCCUGGACAAGGACUGACGCUCAGGUGCGAAAGCGUGGGGAGCAAACAGGAUUAGAUACCCCAGUAGUC